RNAcentral lists this ribosomal RNA (253 nucleotides) under uncultured bacterium. RNAcentral describes it as "partial 16S ribosomal RNA". It matches the Rfam family "Bacterial small subunit ribosomal RNA", at positions 524 to 776 of the family's 1533-position model. The record is from RNAcentral.
UACGUAGGGCGCGAGCGUUAUCCGGAAUUAUUGGGCGUGAAGAGCUCGUAGGCGGUUUGUCGCGUCUGCCGUGAAAGUCCGGGGCUCAACUCCGGAUCUGCGGUGGGUACGGGCAGACUAGAGUGAUGUAGGGGAGACUGGAAUUCCUGGUGUAGCGGUGAAAUGCGCAGAUAUCAGGAGGAACACCGAUGGCGAAGGCAGGUCUCUGGGCAUUAACUGACGCUGAGGAGCGAAAGCAUGGGGAGCGAACAGG